RNAcentral lists this ribosomal RNA (253 nucleotides) under uncultured bacterium. Its description in RNAcentral is "partial 16S ribosomal RNA". It matches the Rfam family "Bacterial small subunit ribosomal RNA", at positions 524 to 776 of the family's 1533-position model. The record is from RNAcentral.
GACAGAGGUGCCAAGCGUUAGGCGGAAUCACUGGGCUUAAAGCGUGUGUAGGCGGGUCGUUAAGUACCUUGUGAAAUCCCACGGCUCAACCGUGGAACUGCUCGGUAUACUGGCGAUCUUGGGCCACUUAGGGGCUAGCGGAACAAACGGUGGAGCGGUGAAAUGCGUAGAUAUCGAGAGGAACACCUGCGGCGAAGGCGGGUUGCUGGGCUGAUACUGACGCUGAGGCGCGAAAGCCAGGGGAGCGAACGGG